UAACAGAAAUUAUAUUACAUUGAUACCUUCGGCUUGUUUCAAGGUGAUGAUGCGAGAGCAAUUACAAUCCAGCGUGAACAGUACGAGGGUACUAUUCAUCUAUUUAUAGGCAACCGUAAGGUUUCAUACGCUAUUACAUUUAUGCCCUCAAUAAUUACAUAUAAAGUUUACAAGAUGUCGCAAGGGCAACAUCGCCAUUUGUAUUUAAUAACUUGAGAAACACCUUCUCCUUGCAUCGUCUCAUUAUUUCGUCAUGACGAAGCCUGCUUGAUGAAGCGUGCUUCGUUGUACUUCCUUUUCAUUAUGCCGAAGCCACGUUGUCAACCCAUUUCACCGUGAUGAAGCCUGUUGGACGAAGCUUGCUUCGCUCCUCUUGUGUUAUACCGAAGCAUUUAUGGUGACGAAGCUCCUGUAAUAUUCAGUAGUAUACUGAAAGCAAAUGGUUAGCCGUAUUUUUGAGAACCUUCGGAAGAGGAAGGCCCCAACAUUUCCAAAACUCAAGUUUUACAUGUUAGAAAGAGUAAUAUUUAUUACAAGUCCUGAUAGAACUCAAAGUGCAUAACUUACAUACAAAACUAGGAAGGUAGAACCCUUCCAAAGCUCACACAUAAACCUAACUAAUCCACCUUCAAGACUGGAAGCAUCUUCUAGCCACAGGGACACCUAGAAUACUCCUGAUUAACUGCAACAACAUGGGUUCGGAAACCCUGAGUACGAAGUGUACUUUCGCAAGUCUUACCCAACUAAGGAAAAAUACUCUCAAUGAUAUGCUAGAUUUGGGAAUCAAGGUAAGGUUUAGCAAAAAUCAAGCUUACUCAUUUGCAGAAAUAAGCAUCUAAUAGUGGAUCCUUACUUUCAACAUUUUAAUUCUGAAAUAAGUAUUAUUUGACUUUAUUCGCAUCUAGACCAACUUCAUCAUCACAUUAAUCAGUACUACAUGAUUUUUACUCAUUAUGAUUCCAUCCAUCACUUAGAUUGCAGGGUAGUGAUCAAUUCUCCAUUAUCCAAGGAUAUAACAGUGAUUCAAAUCGAUUUACCUAGCUGGGGAUCUCUAACCACAUGACAUAUGUAGCACUUAACCCUUGCAUAUGCCAACCUGCAAUCUCAAGAUCAUAUCGGGUUCACGCCAACCAAGAGCACAGUUACUCCACCGUCCAGUCUCUUGCCACGGAGGGUACACGCUAUUCUCGUCAUCUCUCCACUUUCAUUGUGUGGUAGCCUUUCUAGUAUUGGUCAAGCUGAGGUUAGGCUUACCCUAUCCCAUACCAGGGCAUGUGGCUAGUUAAAUAGUCCUCGAUCAUCAAGCCUACAUUCGCUAUAAUCUUUAAUCAACCUGGGAAGAACAUCACUUGUUCCUAGACCAAGUCUCGAAUUAAGUACUUUCAUCCUUAGGACUUAUUUGUGUACCUUAGGAUGAUUAAAACAUCACAGGGAACCUUGCAUUAGAUCUCCCCAUGAUCCUGGUGAAAAUAUUCUUGUAGGUAGAGUCAUCCUUCCUUAGAAUAAACCCUGAGCUACACAUUAGUGCAAAGGACAAACUCUAUCUACAAGACUUAUCUCUAGGUAGGGCUAAGCAAUUUUGUAAACAAUAUUUGAUACUUGCAAAGAAGUAUCUAUAAAAGGAAUGGAUAUCAAGGUAGUCAAUGAAUCAAAUAGUUUCCAAGCAACUCCUAUAAACUUAGUGCACAUUUCACUAGACUUAAAGUGUAUAAAAGUCUUUUAAAAAUACAAUGAAUGGGCAAAUGCAGUGGGGCAUGCCUUUGUUGUAGUGAAGAGGUUCUAGAUCCCUCUAUCAAAUACCAUUUAGAUGGUUCCUCCACUUGAUCAGCUGAAGUAGGGUCCUCCUUCAAACACCACUUCUUCUAGGUGUUCUACAAUUCAAUUAUAAUUACAUGAAUGCUUAUGUAAUGAUGUGAAAUGCAAACUCUCAUAAGGAGAGGUGGGAACAUAAACACAUGAACUGAAGCAUAUGACAAGUAUACACAUACUUCUCUAUAAUCUAAUACUUGACAAAAGUGACUAAUUUGAAUUUACUUAGAGAUCAAUAUUCUUUUGGUUUCUUCAUCCACAGACCAACUUUCACUAGAUAAACUUAUCUCCUUUCCAAAGCAUUAACCCACACUUGAUUAGGAAUUACCAUUCUAUUUUGGGGCUUAUAAGGUUUCUGGAGAAAAAUGAUUCCAAACAGCCCCAAACUUUUACCAAGUGUUUAACAUCAGAUAACAAGCUUCUCCAAAAAUGCCCAUGAUUUUUGGUGUUCAACUCUUAUUUCUAAAAUUCCAAUAGUCCUUCCAUGAGCACCUUUAAUUCACUUAAAAUUUUCUAACUGCUUCAAAAAUUCCAAAAAUAUUUUUAAUAGAAAUAUUCUGAAUUUAUACACCUAAUAAAAUUGGUCCCUUAAUUUGUUUUCAUUUUCUACAAUUUCUUGCGUUAUUUGGAAGGUCUCAGCUAAAUAAUAAAGGAAAAACAUCUAAACUCUGGGCCGAUUCUGGCCCACACGGCCCACGACCAGACACAGGCGGCCCGCGCUCGAGAGCCCGCGCCGCACAUCAUGCAGAAAGGCCCCAACUGCACUGACAAACUAAAUAAAAGCCCAAUCUACUGUUGUCACGCUCACUGUCAAGCGCACAUCGGUCCCUGUCCCUCGGCUUUAUCACUUUCACAAGAACUCGGACCCGAUGCCCCGCUGCCUCCCUGACUCCCUCCGACGAGCUGAGAACCUGACACAGCGGCGCUGAUCUUCAACGCCCACCAACCCCCCCUAGCACGUGUUCACGGCCAAGGCAAAGGGAACCCACAGCUUCACUACCACUGUCCAGCAAUCUAAUGCACUAACACGACGCCGGCGAGAUGCACGGCCCGGCGAGCCCGAUCCUGAGACACUAGAAUAGUAGAGUUCCAAUCAAGGGCGCAGAGAGCAGGAGGGAUUCACCAUGACCUCAGUGCUUGCGCGAAAUUGCUCGAGGAAGACGCGGUUGAACGGGUCGACGGCAAGGCUGUCCUCAGCAUCAGUCUGCGGCGGCACAACCGUGUCCCAAUCAAAUGACAGCGGUGACGUUCAAAAUACCAACAAGGAAAGCUUUACUGAUCUUAACUGAGUAUGGAACAAACACCACAUGGUCGAGCAAAUCUCCCGAAAUUCCUGGCUACGUGAGGUGAAGAAACUGGUGGCAAUGGUCACCAGUCUGAAGGGGAUGGCACAAAACUCUGGACAGGGCUAACCCUGGAACAGACCCACUUAGGAACUAGGGAGGGUAUUAAUACUAGCAGGAGCACAAGGACCACAACACCUGUGUAGCUAUCCUUGGAUAGAACUCGAGGACAGAGAAUAAACUUUCACAACCAG
This 3346-nucleotide long non-coding RNA is filed under the name Zea mays. Its description in RNAcentral is "long non-coding RNA (ZMAY_LNC000312)". Lineage: Eukaryota; Viridiplantae; Streptophyta; Magnoliopsida; Poales; Poaceae. The record is from RNAcentral.